UGGUUCUGGCAUCGAUGAAGAACGCAGCGAAAUGCGAUACGUAAUGUGAAUUGCAGAAUUCAGUGAACCAUCGAAUCUUUGAACGCACAUUGCGCCCGCCGGCAUUCCGGCGGGCAUGCCUGUUCGAGCGUCAUUUCCACCCUCAGGCUCGCCCUGGUGUUGGGGACCUGCCCCGCGCAGCCCCCGAAAGACAGCGGCGGACCCACCCGGCUCCGAGCGUAGUACUGUACGUCGCUCCGGCCUCCGGGCGGUCUCCUGCCGUAAAACGACCCCCCUUCUCUAGGUUGACCUCGGAUCAGGUAGGAAUACCCGCUGA
RNAcentral lists this unclassified non-coding RNA (316 nucleotides) under uncultured fungus. RNAcentral's name for it is "partial contains 5.8S ribosomal RNA and internal transcribed spacer 2". The stretch from base 1 to 133 matches the Rfam family "5.8S ribosomal RNA", at positions 22 to 154 of the family's 154-position model. Lineage: Eukaryota; Fungi. The record is from RNAcentral.